Molecule: ribosomal RNA, 399 nt
Filed under: Ixodes ovatus
Lineage: Eukaryota; Metazoa; Arthropoda; Arachnida; Ixodida; Ixodidae
Description: partial 12S ribosomal RNA
Source: RNAcentral
AAACUAGGAUUAGACCCUAUUAUUUAAAGCUUGGUAUUGUUAGUAAGUAAAAUUUAUGAAAGCAUAAAAUUUUGGCGGUAUUUUAAGCUUUUUAGAGGAAUUUGCUCUGUAAUGGAUAAAACGCCUGUAUCUUACUUAAUUUUGUUAGCAGUUUGUAUACCACUAUAUUUAAUUAUAUUAAAUGGUUAUAUUUAAGAUUUUUUUAUUGAAAAGUAUAUUAAGUCAAGGUGCAGCUUAAAAUUAUGAAUGAAGUGAAUUACAUUGAUUUUUAUUAAUUUUAAUUUGAAAAUAGAUUAGGAUUUAAAAGUAAAAUGUUAAUAUGAUGAGCAUUUGAAUAAAGCUCUAGAAUAUGCACAUAUCGCCCGUCGCUCUCAAAUUAUGAGAUAAGUCGUAACAUAG